RNAcentral lists this ribosomal RNA (509 nucleotides) under uncultured bacterium. Its description in RNAcentral is "bacterial SSU rRNA". It matches the Rfam family "Bacterial small subunit ribosomal RNA", at positions 9 to 514 of the family's 1533-position model. The record is from RNAcentral.
GAGUUUGAUCCUGGCUCAGAUUGAACGCUGGCGGCAGGCCUAACACAUGCAAGUCGAGCGGUAGAGAGAAGCUUGCUUCUCUUGAGAGCGGCGGACGGGUGAGUAAUGCCUAGGAAUCUGCCUGGUAGUGGGGGAUAACGCUCGGAAACGGACGCUAAUACCGCAUACGUCCUACGGGAGAAAGCAGGGACCUUCGGGCCUUGCGCUAUCAGAUGAGCCUAGGUCGGAUUAGCUAGUUGGUGAGGUAAUGGCUCACCAAGGCGACGAUCCGUAACUGGUCUGAGAGGAUGAUCAGUCACACUGGAACUGAGACACGGUCCAGACUCCUACGGGAGGCAGCAGUGGGGGAAUAUUGGACAAUGGGCGAAAGCCUGGUCCAGCCAUGCCGCGUGUGUGAAGAAGGUCUUCGGAUUGUAAAGCACUUUAAGUUGGGAGGAAGGGCAGUAAAUUAAUACUUUGCUGUUUUGACGUUACCGACAGAAUAAGCACGGCUAACUCUGUGCCAGCCG